UAGUGUCCUGCGGAGGAUCAUUA
This 23-nucleotide ribosomal RNA is filed under the name Oxychilus meridionalis. Its description in RNAcentral is "partial 18S ribosomal RNA". The record is from RNAcentral. Lineage: Eukaryota; Metazoa; Mollusca; Gastropoda; Stylommatophora; Oxychilidae.